GACGUCGAUAUUUGACGUCAUAAACAUGAUCAACUUUGGUGUUUAUGACGUCGAUAUUCGACGUCAUAAACACGAUCAACUAUGGGGUUUAUGACGUCGAUAUUCGACGUCAUAAACUCGAUCAGCUUUGGUGUUUAUGACGUCGACAUUCGACGUCAUAAACACAAUCAACUUAGGUGUUUAUGACGUCGAUAUUGAACGUCUUAAACACGAUCAACUUUGGUGUUUAUGACGUCGAUAUUGGACGUC
This 249-nucleotide microRNA precursor is filed under the name Paramuricea clavata. The record is from RNAcentral. Lineage: Eukaryota; Metazoa; Cnidaria; Anthozoa; Malacalcyonacea; Plexauridae.